CAGGAUCUUUGCUCCCCGGAAAUCAAAGGGGUACGACUUCAGUGUGGCCAUCACUGCACUGAGGACAGCGUCUGAGGACGGUGGGUCUGCAAUUCUGCGGGAGAGAUGGAGACAUGGCAGUGCAAGGGGCAGAGCGAGAGCUGCAGGCAGGUGGGGAGGGGUCGCAUCCCUGCAGGGACAUCCCCACACCCCCGGCAGCACAGCAGGGUUAAUGCUCACCUGAGCAGGCGCAUGCCAGCUGUGGCACCCAGGUAGAGCGGAGUGUCUGCGUGCUUCUCCUUGGGCACAUCUCUCAUAGCCUGGCUCAGGCAGUGCUCUAAGCUCUUCCCAGCAGCCGGAGGUUUGGAGCUGUAGCUGGAGAUGCCAGGACCUGCGGAGAGGGAAACUGCAUCGCCCUGCAGCCAUGGGGGUGGGGGGAGGAUGCUCGGGGAGCGGCUUUGCCCCCCCCCCCGGGUGCUCAGAAAGGCCGAGGGUUGCUGUGGAUGGACACAGCGACAGCAGAACGGGGCUCAGCUGCAGCUCCCUGCCCACAGCUCGCUCCCCGCUGGGCUGGGCAGUGAACCACCCUGGGUUUGGAGAGAGAAACUGCCGGCGUGUUCUGAGCGCAUCUUCCCUGGGAACGGGGGAGGUUUAGGGAGCAGAGCGGGACCCCCCCAGCACCUCCUUGCUCCUGCUGGGAGCGCGGGGAGGCGGCAGAGCCAGCGAGGGACUGCCACCGCCGCAGCCGGGACAGCCCUUACCCUCCACGUCGCACAUGCUGUGCUCGCUGACCACCCCAGUGUCGUUCUCCUUGUCCGCGGGCCACUUGUAGAUGAACACGGCCGUGUGGGAGGAUCCGGCGUCCAGCACGAUGCCGUACUUGAAACUCGGCGGGCCGCGCGCGUCUCCGGAGCCGAGGCAGAGCAGGAGGAUGCCCAGGAGGCAGCCGAGGGCAAGCAGCAGCAGCACGGCGGCGGCCCGGCGGGCCAUGGCGGGGCCGGGCGGGCGCUGCCGCUGCUCGGUGGGGGCAGGUGAGCGGCUCUGCGGCGGCCGCUGCUCCUCCUCCUCGCCCGCCUCUCCCGGCUGACUCACCGCAGCCCCGGCCCACCCGGGCGGGACGCCGGGCCCUGCUGUGCUGCUCGGCCCCACGCCGAC
This 1134-nucleotide long non-coding RNA is filed under the name Gallus gallus (chicken). Lineage: Eukaryota; Metazoa; Chordata; Aves; Galliformes; Phasianidae. The record is from RNAcentral.